UCCCUGACCGGAAAAAUUUGUGCAAAAGGUCCUCGUGAAUGAAAAACGUAUGCAGCCAGUCCUCGCCGGAGCCCGAAGCUCCGGCGAGUGAUAAAUGACACGCUGACUGGAUUAAUGAAGCUUACGUGGAUUUAAAAUAAAAAAAAUACAAAUUAGAAAAUUAAAUUAAAAUAAAAACCCAAACUAAUUAAAUUAAAUUAUACAUCAUUAUUUUUUUUCUAUUUCCAGAGAAUAAAAAAAUCUUCAUCUCCUUCAUCAUCUUUAUCAUCUCAACAACAUCUUCUUCUCCAUCCCAUCAUCUUCAUCUCAUUUUUUCAAUACCCAAAUUAAAAAACCAAGAUCUAGAACCUCAAAUGAGCAUAACGAGCCAAGUAACAGUGGUAGAAGUAGUCACAUGCAAGUUCCCCACAAUUAAAAGUAAACAUUUUAAAACUUGUAUCCAAGCAAAAUUUCAGUCCUAGCAACUCUCGGGAGCACCAAAACUUCAAUUUCAAAGGAAUAAAAAUUUCAGCAGGUUGCAAUUAUCCACCCAAGACACCACCUUUAGACACAAUCUAACAAGACGCAAAACUCUGACCAUAAAGGGGGUUCGAUUCACUGAGCACAACAGUCACAUGUAUGAACAGAAAUCUACUGGAAAACCACACCAGUGCUAGUUCUCAGAUCUGGGCACCUCUGAAUCUCAUCAACCCCAACCCAACAAACAACCUCAACCCUGCCUCUUUAUCUUCCGAACCAAAAAACCAACCGAGGAACCCAAGCAAAAGAAAGAAAAUCCAAAGAAAGAAAGAGAGAUUCAAGGGAAAGAUAACCAUAACCCAGAUUGUACACAAGAACCCAGGUCGCAGGAGAACCGAAGUCACGAAAAGAACCCAUAUCCUUUGCAAACGCUGGUGCCUUUCUUGCGAUCUUUGCGUCGUCUCCCUCUCUCACCUUCCCCCUCUUGAAUCUCGCCAUCUUUUCUCUUGCAUCGGGGGUUCUAAUGGUGUUGGAGGGUUGUUCAAUCCAGAUCCAAGUUUCACACGCAUCUUAGAAUGAGAGGUGCGAAAAUCUAAGGAGGAGGUUUCGGUUGCAGGUGGUGGUGGGGUUGGGGUUGGGGUUUUAGUUGGAGAAGAAGAAGAAGAUGAAGGAGGAGGAGAUGAUGUGAUGAAUUUCUGGGUUAGUUUUGGGGGAAUUUGAUUUUUUAUAAUUAAUUUGGGGCCUCAUCAACACAGUCAGCAUUCCACUCCAUCACUCGCCGGAGCCCUGGGCUCCGGCGAGACCUGCUCCAAACGUUUUGCAAUGAUAAGGACCUUUUGCACAAAUUUUUCCGAUGAGGGACCUAGUUCAGACGGCGACACAAAGACAGGGACCAAUUUGAGGAUUAAGCCUUUUAAUUUUCAUAGUGAUUUUAGUGAUUUGAUAAAUUGUGGUGUCUACAUUUUCACUACCGAUAUUUUUACUACAAUCGGAGAUGUAUCAAAGGAACCAAGAAGGGAGAGCUAAUCUACGACGUCUUUAUAGCUUUGAAGCUCUCCGGUCUGUCACAAGGACUCAACCAUAUUGAUAUUGAAGAGGUUUCAUGCA
Lotus japonicus is the source of this 1566-nucleotide long non-coding RNA. RefSeq lists it as uncharacterized. The transcript has 2 exons. The record is from RefSeq and is a predicted model, not a curated record. NCBI's taxonomy places the organism in Eukaryota, Viridiplantae, Streptophyta, Magnoliopsida, Fabales, Fabaceae.